GUCUCGCUAGCAUGACCCAUUCAUGUCUCCUAAAAUGAUUAUCCUAAUCUUUGAGGUUUAUCAUAAUCUUAGACAUAAUAAGAUGCAGCUAGAAAAUAUCACUACAUGAGUUAGAAAAUUACAAGAAAAAAUCCCAUCGCAACACAUUGUGAUUGGCUUAUAGAGCACUCUUCUUUCACAAUGAAUAGCAGGAGAAGUUGACUAAGGAAGGUGUUCCGUAAGAAGGCUUGGCUGUGGGGGAGAGAUCAGGAAGAAGAAGAGAAAGAGGCAAGUCAAGAAAAUGGUCAAAGUCUUAGAAGAACAAGAGCAGGAAUGAAGCUAGGUACUACAAGUGCAACGAGAUUGGGCACUUCAAACGAAAUUGCUCGUAGUGGAAGAACAAGAAGGGAGAUAUGGGCGG
Molecule: long non-coding RNA, 400 nt
Filed under: Elaeis guineensis (African oil palm)
Lineage: Eukaryota; Viridiplantae; Streptophyta; Magnoliopsida; Arecales; Arecaceae
Description: long non-coding RNA (EGUI_LNC060301)
Source: RNAcentral